This is a long non-coding RNA of Oncorhynchus tshawytscha (Chinook salmon), 1444 nucleotides long. NCBI's taxonomy places the organism in Eukaryota, Metazoa, Chordata, Actinopteri, Salmoniformes, Salmonidae. The record is from Ensembl.
CAGAACAGGGUUGCUAACAGAACAGGGUUGCUAACAGAACAGGGUUGCUAACAGAACAGUUACACAGAACUGGAAGAAAACUAAACUUCCGGAGGACCUAUCAUCCUUCCACUCUCUCUACGUAGCAAGUACGCACGAUUACAUGUGAGUACUGUGUAGAAAGUGUGAAGAGGCUGUAAGAAAAGAAACUUGUAUUUUAUUACAUUUGUUUAUUGGUGUUUUGUAUUCUUGGCAGUGGGUCCAGGCCAAGGCCGGACUGUCUCCUGAACUCGCCGUUUAACAGAUCCGGAGAUUGGAGGGAUGAGAGAGUGGGCAGAAACGGUUAAGGUAGGAGAGGUUGGGGCAGGGCUGGUUAAGGUAGGAGAGGUUGAGGCAGGAAUUUUUAAGGUAGGGGAGGUUGGGGCAGGGCUGGUUAAGUCAGGGGAGGUUGAGGCAGGGCUGGUUUGUGAUGGCUGGGUGGAAUGGGUUGUGAUUACCGGUAAUGGGAAUGGGGAAAAUAAGAAAUCAAAGUGUGGUGCAGUAGGUGAUAUUAAUGUGAGGGGACUGGACAUGGAGGCUGAUGGUGUUCCCAGAGGAAGGGUGGGGGAGGCACUGACAGUUCUUGAACUCACAGGCGUCUGGUGUUCUAGGGCGACUGACCCAGAGACAGAGAGCUGCCGAAGCGCCUCCCCUUCCCCCAGGCGAUCCUUCUCCAUCUUGAGGCGCUCCCUCUCCACCUGCAGGCGCUCUGUCUCCACCCUCAAGCGCUCUCUAUCCAGCUGGAGCCGGUUCUUCUCCACAUCCAGGUGUGCCUUCUGUGUUUCAUGUGCUUUUUCUAAUAAAUCAUAAAGAGCUUGGUGGAUGUGCUGGGCGGUCUGUGUAACAUGGAUUUGUUGCGUUUGUGUCUCCAGGAUUUGUUGGAGCAGAUUGGCUUGGGGGCCUUGUGGUGUCCAGCCAGACGUGAUGGGUUGGGGUGUAGAGUCAGAGUGGAUGGAGUGAGCUGGUGCAGGACAGGAGGUGAUGGGUUGGGGAGCAAAGCCAGAGUGGAUGGAAUGAGCUGGUGCAGGACAGGAGGUGAUGGGUUGGGGAGCAAAGCCAGAGUGGAUGGAAUGAGCUGGUGCAGGACAGGAGGUGAUGGGUUGGGGUGCGGUGCCAGAGAGUGCAUCUGCAUUGCUUGCUAUUUGGGGUUUCAGGCUGGGUAUCUGUAAAGCACUUUGUGACAACUGCUGAUGUAAAAAGGGCUUUAUAAAAUAAAUUUGAUUCAUUGAUUGAGAGUGGAUUGAGUGAGCUGGUGCAGGACGGGAGGUGAUGGGUUGGGGUGGCACUGUUGGUGCUGGCCAAGGUGUUGAUGGUGAGGUGGAGGGUAGCUCCUCCAUGGUGACAGAGGGUAAAGCUGCCUCCACAGUUCCCUCUGCUGCUGGUGGGGGACCAGAGCUGGAGAUUUCUCCCUGAGAGAGACCUGGAC